RNAcentral lists this long non-coding RNA (641 nucleotides) under Helianthus annuus (common sunflower). Its description in RNAcentral is "sRNA HanXRQr2_Chr16g0756131". The record is from RNAcentral. Lineage: Eukaryota; Viridiplantae; Streptophyta; Magnoliopsida; Asterales; Asteraceae.
AUGGUCUUCAUCAAGCACCACGAGCUUGGAACAAGAUGGAGAUCUUCUUCUAGUACAGGUAUACGUUGAUGACAUUAUUUUUGGUUCUACUAAUGAUGUCUUGUGUAGGGAAUUCGAGCGCAUUAUGCAGGAUAAAUUCGAGAUGAGUGCUAUGGGGGAAAUGACCUUCUUCUUGGGCCUACAAGUACAACAAACGGAGUCUGGGAUAUUCAUCCAUCAGACUAAAUAUGUUGGUGACAUCUUGAGCCGGUUCCAGAUGUCUGAUGCAGCGCCCAUUGGUACCCCAUUGCCAACUAAUCACGGAAUUACUCCAGACUUGAAGGGAGAAGCUGUUAGCCCUUCUAUCUAUCGCGCCAUGAUCGGAUCUCUCAUGUACCUCACAGCAUCAAGGCCAGACAUAAUGUACCCAACGUGCCUGCUUGCUAGAUAUCAAGUUAACCCGAAGGCCUCACAUCUUGCUGCUGUCAAAAGGAUUUUUCGUUAUUUGAAGACGUACCCCGACACCGGUCUGUGGUACCCUAGGGAUAAUAACUUUGAAUUGGUAGCCUUCAGUGAUUCUGAUUUUGGCGGAUGUAAAAUCGACGGCAAGUCCACAACGGCUGGAUGUCAGUUUUUAGGAAAUCGCCUAGUCACAUGGCAGU